Molecule: long non-coding RNA, 725 nt
Organism: Helianthus annuus (common sunflower)
Lineage: Eukaryota; Viridiplantae; Streptophyta; Magnoliopsida; Asterales; Asteraceae
Exons: 2
Source: RefSeq, a predicted model, not a curated record
AAUUCCUUUUACUUUGAACACAGCACACCACAAACCCCCCUGCCCCCUUCUCUCUCGAUCAUCCUUUUACUUCGACAUGCCAGCCGGUGCCGGAGAAGUUGGUAAUCGUCGUUGUUAGCCGGCCGCUCUCCGACAACCACGCCGGUGAUGUGACGAUGAUGAUUGGAUGAUGACGAGGCUCCGACAGCGGUGGUGGUCGACGAUGGCGUAUAAGCAAGCGGCGGCGGCGGGUAUAUCACUAAAUCCUGGUAAUAAUCCAUCUCGAUUUCAACUAGUCUUGGCCAAACAGAUGGUGGUGGUUCAGUCGACGAUGGCGUAUAAGAUGGUUGCCAACAGUAGUGACGCCGACGGUGGUGGUGGUUCAGUUCGUCGGAAAGCAUAAACUAGAGCACGUCAUCUCGUUUUCGAUCUGGAAGUUAUAUACGAAUCUGGAACAACAAGUUCAUACGGAUCCAUGUUUUAUCUGCGUUGGAAUUCUUUUCUCACCACUUGAGUUGCUGAUGUUGUGUCGGUUGCUGAUGUUGAGUUGCUGAGUUGCUCGGAAGGUGUUUGAUGUUGGUUUCGAUUCUUCAGAGCUGAAAAAUGAGAUGGGUGUGGGUUAAUGUUAUUGAAUUUGUUAAAGGAAUAUGUAAUUUUAUUUUCUUUAUGUUAGUAGAUUUUAUACAUUUUUUGUUUGUAAAUUUGUAUAAAUUAUGAUUAAUGUUAUUGAAAUUUUAUAGUUUUUA